UGGGGAAUUUUGCACAAUGGGCGCAAGCCUGAUGCAGCAACGCCGCGUGAGGGACGACGGCCUUCGGGUUGUAAACCUCUUUUGGCAGGGAAGAAGCGAAAGUGACGGUACCUGCAGAAAAAGCACCGGCUAACUACGUGCCAGCAGCCGCGGUGAUACGUAGGGUGCAAGCGUUGUCCGGAAUUAUUGGGCGUAAAGAGCUCGUAGGCGGUUUGUCGCGUCUGCUGUGAAAACCCGAGGCUCAACCUCGGGCCUGCAGUGGGUACGGGCAACCUAGAGUGCGGUAGGGGAGAUUGGAAUUCCUGGUGUAACGGUGGAAUGCGCAGAUAUCAGGAGGAACACCGAUGGCGAAGGCAGAUCUCUGGGCCGUAACUGACGCUGAGGAGCGAAAGCAUGGGGGGCGAACA
Molecule: ribosomal RNA, 407 nt
Filed under: uncultured bacterium
Lineage: Bacteria
Description: bacterial SSU rRNA
Rfam family: Bacterial small subunit ribosomal RNA
Source: RNAcentral